UCAGCAUCUGCUGUCUCUUGUGUCUCCAAAGUUUGUGAUAUCCAGUGGCUGUUAUAUGGUUCACACUUUGGGUGAAAAAGCUCUCCACCUAGUUUGAUGCCUUAUCCAGGCAACCGUUCUACAGAAAGAAAAACAAUAUAACUCUGGGUAGAGAUGUAACAAUGGUGGAUUCUUUGUUCUCACCUCUCUCGCUGAACUGUGAAGGAAAGCUUAAGAUCUUUAGAGAGCUGUCAUCACUGCACCCAUCUCUUGAAGCCUUGAUCAUUCCUUGUGCCGUGAUAGUGGUGUCAUGGGAUGUUUAAUAUCUACCACAGAAGGCAGAUGGAGCUUCAGUUUAAUACCUUCUAAGGCCGUGCCUCUGACUGUGCAAUGGUCCUU
Molecule: long non-coding RNA, 378 nt
Organism: Hypanus sabinus (Atlantic stingray)
Lineage: Eukaryota; Metazoa; Chordata; Chondrichthyes; Myliobatiformes; Dasyatidae
Exons: 3
Source: RefSeq, a predicted model, not a curated record